GUGGGGAAUCUUGCGCAAUGGGCGAAAGCCUGACGCAGCCAUGCCGCGUGAAUGAUGAAGGUCUUAGGAUUGUAAAAUUCUUUCACCGGGGACGAUAAUGACGGUACCCGGAGAAGAAGCCCCGGCUAACUUCGUGCCAGCAGCCGCGGUAAUACGAAGGGGGCUAGCGUUGCUCGGAAUUACUGGGCGUAAAGGGCGCGUAGGCGGACAGUUUAGUCAGAGGUGAAAGCCCAGGGCUCAACCUUGGAAUUGCCUUUGAUACUGGCUGUCUUGAGUACGGGAGAGGUGAGUGGAACUCCGAGUGUAGAGGUGAAAUUCGUAGAUAUUCGGAAGAACACCAGUGGCGAAGGCGACUCACUGGCCCGUUACUGACGCUGAGGCGCGAAAGCGUGGGGAGCAAACAGGAUUAGAUACCCGAGUAGUC
RNAcentral lists this ribosomal RNA (424 nucleotides) under uncultured bacterium. RNAcentral's name for it is "partial 16S ribosomal RNA". It matches the Rfam family "Bacterial small subunit ribosomal RNA", at positions 354 to 795 of the family's 1533-position model. The record is from RNAcentral.